RNAcentral lists this ribosomal RNA (179 nucleotides) under uncultured bacterium. Its description in RNAcentral is "partial 16S ribosomal RNA". It matches the Rfam family "Bacterial small subunit ribosomal RNA", at positions 1308 to 1500 of the family's 1533-position model. The record is from RNAcentral.
CAACUCGCCUACAUGAAGCUGGAAUUGCUAGUAAUCACAGGUCAGCAUACUGUGGUGAAUACGUUCCCGGGCCUUGUACACACCGCCCGUCACACCAUGAGAGUUGAGAAUACCCGAAGUCCAUGUCAAAGUGGCCGAAGGUAGGCUUGAUGAUUGGGGUGAAGUCGUAACAAGGUAUC